Molecule: signal recognition particle RNA, 299 nt
Filed under: Aotus nancymaae (Ma's night monkey)
Lineage: Eukaryota; Metazoa; Chordata; Mammalia; Primates; Aotidae
Description: Metazoan signal recognition particle RNA (ENSANAG00000000997.1)
Rfam family: Metazoan signal recognition particle RNA
About the family: The signal recognition particle (SRP) is a universally conserved ribonucleoprotein.
Source: RNAcentral
GCCAGGCGUGGUGGCGCAUGCCUGUAGUCCCAGCUACUCCGGAGGCUGAGGUGGGAGGAUCCUUGAGCCCAGGAGUUCUGGGCUGUAGUGCGCUAUGCCGAUCGGGUGUCCGCACUAAGUUCGGCAUCAAUAUGGUGACCUCCCGGGAGCGGGGGACCACCGGGUUGCCUAAGGAGGGGUGAACCGGCCCAGGUCGGAAACGGAGCAGGUCAAAAACUCCCGUGCUGAUCAGUAGUGGGAUCGCGCCUGUGAAUAGCCACUGCACUCCAGCCUGGGCAACAUAGCAAGACCCUGUCUCU